UCUAAUCCCUGAAAAUUAAGCCACAGAGUGGGUUUCUGCCAUGGUAGCUACUGUAAAAAAGAAGAAAAGAUGACUGUCAGGCUAUGCCUGGAAACAGUGCAUUUGAACAGGUUCAGGUGCCUCCGCGUACGUCAUCUCCACUGGAAGUGAGGUCUUCCAGAGGUCAAUGGAGAAGCUUUUUGCUGGGCAGCCAUGUGAGAUAGUGGUGAACGACAUCCUGGUGUAAGAAUUGAGGUGACGGGGCCCCUCCACCAGCUCUUCCAUCAGGAGACUGAAUGGUGCUGGCAGGAGCAGCAUGACGCUGCCUUCACCAAAAUCAUAGAGUUGGUAUCUAGCCCACCAGUGCUCCAAGUACUAUGAUUUGGGCAAACCAGUGGUGCUGUCUGCAGAUGCAACCCAACAUGGUCUCGGGGCAGUAUGUUUACAACUAGGUAGGCCAGUGGCCUUUGAAUCUAGAGCACUGACAGAGACAGUGACACAUUACGCUCAGAUCAAGGAGCAGAUGUUGGCUCUUAUUUUUUGCAUGUAAAAAGUUUCAUGAUUUAAUUUACGGACAUGCGGUGCUGGUGGAUAUGGGGUUUACAAAAUAGGGAAGUAGCUGUUUGUAGCUGACCGGAGGACACAGAAGAGUCCUUUGAUGUCAUGACUGUACAGGUUCUGUCCUGUCCUUGCACUGAAGAGUUGAGGGCUGCAGUGGCAACAGACAUCACAUGCCAGCACCUCUGAGAAGUCAUUCUAAAUGGCUGGCUAAAAUCAUCAAAGGAGCUUCCCCAAGACGUUCGCCCCUACUAUGCCAUGAAAGAAGAGUUUACAGUACAGGAUUGGCUCAUACUGGGGGGGUCAAAGGCUGCUUAUCCCAUUGUCUUUACAACAAUUCUAUACAGGCCAACUGCAUCAAGGACACCCAGGGGCUGAGGCAACAAAUCGUAGAGCAAGGGAAAUGUGUGCUGACAUAGAGAGGGAGGUGUUCUGCUGUGCUCCUUUUAAUGCUCUUAACCCCCACCAGGUUAACCUGUUAGGGCUAGGGGGCAGUAUUGACACGGCUGGAUAAAAAAACAUACCCGAUUUAAUCUGGUUACCACUCCUACCCAGUAACUAGAAUAUGCAUAUACUUAUUACAUAUGGAUAGAAAACACCCAAAAUUUUCCAAAACUGUUUGAAUGGUGUCUGUGAGUAUAACAGAACUCAUUUGGCAGGCAAAACCCUGAGACAUUUUCUGACAGGAAGUGGAUACCUGAUGUGUUGUAUUGCCUUUAAACCUAUCCCACUGAAAAACACAGGGGCUGAGGAAUAUUUUGGCACUUCCUAUUGCUUCCACUAGAUGUCACCAGCCUUUACAAAGUGUUUUGAGUCUUCUGGAGGAGAUCUGACCGAACAAGAGCCAUGGAACGAUGAUGUCCCAUUAGACACCUGGCGCGCGAGUUCAUGUUGGGUACCCUCGUUCCAAUACGUUAUAAAAGAGUAUGCAUUCGUCCACCUUGAAU
This 1484-nucleotide long non-coding RNA is filed under the name Salmo salar (Atlantic salmon). Its description in RNAcentral is "lncRNA (ENSSSAG00000114279.1)". Lineage: Eukaryota; Metazoa; Chordata; Actinopteri; Salmoniformes; Salmonidae. The record is from RNAcentral.